GGGGAAAAGCGAAAACGACAGGCGAGACAGCAAAUCGAGACGCGGGCCACGAUCCGUCGGCCCAAUGGGCGCCGCGGAGGGCCCGGCUUAGUGGAGGAAGUGGUCGGGGCGGACACGGGCGUUGUCCUUGGCUGGCGAGAGUGUGGGGGCGCUGGUCUCUGGCCCUGGUGGCGCCACUACUGUCUUCGGAAAGAUUAUCGGAAGUCACUUGCUGAUGUGACAUGAACCGAUGAAGAGAUCGCUUCACAAGGAGAGUGCGAUGAUGAUCCAGGCAGGGCUGGUGUUUGUGCUGAACAAUGGAGUGUGCUGCCUCUUCUGUCCUGAGCACCCAUCUUGAUGGAAUGGAGCCCAAGUCACAGCCUGUUUUUAAACAUCUGGAGGGAUGGAGGAAGCCCAUGAAAUGGGAAAUAAAUAUUUAUUCUUUGAAAGGACUGGGGACAGUAGUUAAUGAAAAUGUAUGCAUCUAUAUGUUAGGCAUAUAUAUAGUUUUAGCAUGGAGUUUAAGUUGUAAGUAUUGGUAAGAAACAAUUUCAGUCAUGACAAAUAAAUUCAAUGGAAUAAUGAGAA
Molecule: long non-coding RNA, 567 nt
Organism: Agelaius phoeniceus (red-winged blackbird)
Lineage: Eukaryota; Metazoa; Chordata; Aves; Passeriformes; Icteridae
Source: RefSeq, a predicted model, not a curated record